RNAcentral lists this ribosomal RNA (253 nucleotides) under uncultured bacterium. RNAcentral describes it as "partial 16S ribosomal RNA". It matches the Rfam family "Bacterial small subunit ribosomal RNA", at positions 524 to 776 of the family's 1533-position model. The record is from RNAcentral.
UACGUAGGGGGCAAGCGUUGUCCGGAUUUAUUGGGCGUAAAGAGCGUGUAGGCGGCCAUUCAGGUCAGCUGUGAAAACUCGAGGCUCAACCUCCAGCCUGCAGUGGGUACGGGCAAACUAGAGUGCGGUAGGGGAGAUUGGAAUUCCUGGUGUAGCGGUGGAAUGCGCAGAUAUCAGGAGGAACACCGAUGGCGAAGGCAGAUCUCUGGGCCGUAACUGACGCUGAGGAGCGAAAGCGUGGGGAGCGAACAGG